This 253-nucleotide ribosomal RNA is filed under the name uncultured bacterium. RNAcentral's name for it is "partial 16S ribosomal RNA". It matches the Rfam family "Bacterial small subunit ribosomal RNA", at positions 524 to 776 of the family's 1533-position model. The record is from RNAcentral.
UACGUAGGGUGCAAGCGUUAAUCGGAAUUACUGGGCGUAAAGCGUGCGCAGGCGGUUGUGCAAGACAGAUGUGAAAUCCCCGGGCUCAACCUGGGAACUGCAUUUGUGACUGCACGGCUAGAGUGUGUCAGAGGGGGGUGGAAUUCCCAGUGUAGCGGUGAAAUGCGUAGAUAUUGGGAGGAACACCAGUGGCGAAGGCGGCUCACUGGACCGGAACUGACGCUGAGGCGCGAAAGCGUGGGGAGCAAACAGG